This 69-nucleotide transfer RNA is filed under the name Hyphomicrobiaceae bacterium. RNAcentral's name for it is "tRNA-Thr". It matches the Rfam family "tRNA". Rfam says of the family: Transfer RNA (tRNA) molecules are approximately 80 nucleotides in length. Lineage: Bacteria; Pseudomonadati; Pseudomonadota; Alphaproteobacteria; Hyphomicrobiales; Hyphomicrobiaceae. The record is from RNAcentral.
GGCCUUCAUAGCUCAACGGUAGAGCGUCGGGUUGUACCUGAAGAUCUGGGUUCGAAUCCCAGUGGGCUA